AUGCCGCCGCCGAGCGCCCGCGGCCCCGUCAUCCUCGACACCUCGCCACACACUCCUCGCGCCGCCACCGUAUCGCCAUGGCCACCUCGCGCCGCCACCCUCUCGCCACUGCCACCUCGCGCCGCCACCCUCUUGCAGCACAGAUCAUCUGCGGAGGACCCUCAUGCCGCUGCCGGCGAGCAGCAGCAAGCGGCGGACAAGGCGCCUCGCACCGCCGAGCAGGAGCCGGUGCCCAAGGUGCAUGAGCCUAAGCCGCCACCGCAGCAGCCGAGGCGGCAGCCGUACCGUCAGGCGGCGGACAAGGCGGCUCACGCCACCAGCAACGGCGAGCAGGAGCCGGCGCCCAAGGUGGAGCCUAGGCAGCCAACGCCGCAGAGGCAGCAGCCACCGCGCCAGGCGUCAAUGAAGGAGAAGGGCAAGGCGCCGAUGGUGCAGGAGCCCCCGCGGCGGCGCCGCACGUCGCGCAGAGGGCGGCCGCCGCCGUGGCGGCGGCGGCCCGGCCGCCCGUGCCGUUCGUCGCGACCCAGCUCACCCGCAGGGAGAAGGAGGAGGACUGGUUCGCGAUGA
RNAcentral lists this ribosomal RNA (567 nucleotides) under Triticum aestivum (bread wheat). Its description in RNAcentral is "partial small subunit ribosomal RNA". Lineage: Eukaryota; Viridiplantae; Streptophyta; Magnoliopsida; Poales; Poaceae. The record is from RNAcentral.